RNAcentral lists this ribosomal RNA (1346 nucleotides) under uncultured bacterium. Its description in RNAcentral is "partial 16S ribosomal RNA". It matches the Rfam family "Bacterial small subunit ribosomal RNA", at positions 28 to 1381 of the family's 1533-position model. The record is from RNAcentral.
GACGAACGCUGGCGGCGUGCUUAACACAUGCAAGUCGAACGGAAAGGCCCUGCUUUUGUGGGGUGCUCGAGUGGCGAACGGGUGAGUAACACGUGAGUAACCCGCCCUUGACUUUGGGAUAACUUCAGGAAACUGGGGCUAAUACCGGAUAGGAGCUCCUGCUGCAUGGUGGGGGUUGGAAAGUUUCGGCGGUUGGGGAUGGACUCGCGGCUUAUCAGCUUGUUGGUGGGGUAGUGGCUUACCAAGGCUUUGACGGGUAGCCGGCCUGAGAGGGUGACCGGCCACAUUGGGACUGAGAUACGGCCCAGACUCCUACGGGAGGCAGCAGUGGGGAAUAUUGCACAAUGGGCGGAAGCCUGAUGCAGCAACGCCGCGUGCGGGAUGACGGCCUUCGGGUUGUAAACCGCUUUCGCCUGUGACGAAGCGUGAGUGACGGUAAUGGGUAAAGAAGCACCGGCUAACUACGUGCCAGCAGCCGCGGUGAUACGUAGGGCGCGAGCGUUGUCCGGAUUUAUUGGGCGUAAAGGGCUCGUAGGUGGUUGAUCGCGUCGGAAGUGUAAUCUUGGGGCUUAACCCUGAGCGUGCUUUCGAUACGGGUUGACUUGAGGAAGGUAGGGGAGAAUGGAAUUCCUGGUGGAGCGGUGGAAUGCGCAGAUAUCAGGAGGAACACCAGUGGCGAAGGCGGUUCUCUGGGCCUUUCCUGACGCUGAGGAGCGAAAGCGUGGGGAGCGAACAGGCUUAGAUACCCUGGUAGUCCACGCUGUAAACGGUGGGUACUAGGUGUGGGGUCCAUUCCACGGGUUCCGUGCCGUAGCUAACGCUUUAAGUACCCCGCCUGGGGAGUACGGCCGCAAGGCUAAAACUCAAAGGAAUUGACGGGGCCCCGCACAAGCGGCGGAGCAUGCGGAUUAAUUCGAUGCAACGCGUAGAACCUUACCUGGGUUUGACAUGGAUCGGGAGUGCUCAGAGAUGGGUGUGCCUCUUUUGGGGUCGGUUCACAGGUGGUGCAUGGCUGUCGUCAGCUCGUGUCGUGAGAUGUUGGGUUAAGUCCCGCAACGAGCGCAACCCUUGUUCACUGUUGCCAGCACGUUAUGGUGGGGACUCAGUGGAGACCGCCGGGGUCAACUCGGAGGAAGGUGGGGAUGACGUCAAGUCAUCAUGCCCCUUAUGUCCAGGGCUUCACGCAUGCUACAAUGGCUGGUACAGAGAGUGGCGAGCCUGUGAGGGUGAGCGAAUCUCGGAAAGCCGGUCUCAGUUCGGAUUGGGGUCUGCAACUCGACCUCAUGAAGUCGGAGUCGCUAGUAAUCGCAGAUCAGCAACGCUGCGGUGAAUACGUUCCCGGGGCU